Molecule: long non-coding RNA, 2269 nt
Filed under: Homo sapiens (human)
Lineage: Eukaryota; Metazoa; Chordata; Mammalia; Primates; Hominidae
Description: HSALNT0323132
Source: RNAcentral
UCAGAAGUGUUCUGGAAUCUUGUUUCCCGCCCUGAAAUAAGUUGAUGGCAGUUAUGGCAUGGGCUGAUCUACCCAGUCAGCAAGGCCAGAUUGCAGAGAAACUCAGAGUCUAGGAAAAUGAAUGUCUAGGAACAUUCCUCAAAUAGUCCUACCAGAAGACACAAAGAUGAUGCAUCCGGAUGAAGAAUAUAUCACUGAGAUUAAUGGCCCUGGGUUGCAGCCAAAAGCAUCUCAGAGGUAGAACACUGUUGCAGAUGGUGAUGUUACCAUUUGAAAGUAAGAAGAAAACUAGUAUCUCUUUACACCAAGAGUAAAAAUAGAGAAGAUGCUUACAAACUGCAACACAUAGAGUUUCUUGAAAUCACAGUUUGGGAGUGGAGGAAAAGGCUGCUUAAGUGUUUGGAAAGGGAGAGUAAGGAUGAAAUAGAGUGGGGGUAUGAUGCAUUUCCUGACUGUGGUCGGCUUUCCAUGGGUGAAACAGAAAAGUCUUCAAAUAUCCUCACCAACUGCUUUCCUAGAUUUUUCAGCCAGUUACUUGACCAUAUUAGGAAAAGAAAGCAUACUACACCCAUCUCAGAGCUGGCCUCUUGAGGUAGCCACACCGCCACAGGAACCAUUGUAAUCUCUGCAUCAAGUUCAAGUUCACAAAUAAGCAAAGAGGUGUGUACUACUAUUUGACACUUAGGUGUAUUGGAGCACAAUUUGACAUGAGUAAGGUUAUUAAGGUUUACAUUUAUUUUCUUAAUUGUGUUCAAAUGUAAUUCCUUUAAGUUCCUGGAAGAAACACUUUUUAUUUAUAUUGGUAUAAACUAUGUGGAAGUUUUUAGAGGAAAUUUAAUACUGUGUAAAGUGAAAUAAAAUCAUUUUUACCUUCACUGCCUUAAAAGAGACAUAAAAAAUAUAAAUCUAAUUUAGAAGUUUCAAUAGUUUAUUAGUUUUACCUAUUUAAGCUAAAUUCCUUAAAUGUAGUUUUUCUUUUGGGAGGAAACAUUGUUUUGUGUGUGAUGAACACUUAGAUAACUUUCAAGAAGGAUAUAAAACUGAUAUAUAUCUUCACUCGCUUGCCAGAUAAAAUAAGAAAUUUCUAUUCAUGUUCAUUGACUCAUUUAUUUUUUUGGUUAAAUUCUGUUUACUUAUGUCAUUUGUUUUAAGUUUUUAUUAAGGUGACAACAAAUUUCAAACUGACAGCAUUUAAAAUAAAUAUUCACCAUUGCCAACAUAGCUUUUUAAGAGUCUGCAAAUAGAAAGAAAGGUAAUUUUUUUCUGUAUUUUCCAGACUUGUGACAAAGAGCUAGGUGAAAACAGGGGAAAAAGGAGGAAAAUAAAGAAGCACCAGACUAAACCUGAAGAAAGGGGACAUUUAAAAAUUCUUCCUUUUGUGUUCAGAGCUCACAACAUAGAAAAAGAUAUGGUUAAAAAAAAGUCGUGAUGCUCAUAAAAAGCAACAUUUUAUUUUCAAGCCAAUUACAUUAAUUAUACAAUUACCUUGUAGCCAGUAAGAAUCACAUAUAUAUGAAAGCAAAAUAUUGUUUAAUUGAAUAAAACAAUCUGAUACAUAUGCCCAAAAAACAAUAGAGUAAAUAAGAGUUUUCCCAACAGUGGCAAAGAGAAUAAUUUUCAUGUUGAGUUUUAUUGAUCUCCGGAACAGUAGCUCCCCUGAGCAGAGAACCAUAACAGAAUUAAGGAAAGAUAUUUCCAUUCCAGAGACCAGACAUUUGGAGGACAUAAUUGAUUCUGAGAGAAAUUUCUCCAAGGAUUCCUGCAGUUCUCCUUUGAACAUACGAAGAGGGAACAUUCUUUCAGUCCUAGAAGUUGCUGAAGCAGAGAUGGAGAACCCCAGACUGGAGGGCUUUGAUUUCACCCUGCACAUCUAAGGGCAUAAAUUGGUUCCAGGUCAGGAUCAUAUGAGCAUAAGUCUGAGUUGGGUGUCUCUGAUCAUUCCAGAAUUCCAUUGGAAGGCAGACUUAUAUUCCUGAGAAGCAGGAAUGAGAAGCACAGUGGAAUUUUGCAAAGGAAACAGAACUUGAACUCAGCAGUCGUAGGUGCCAGUCCUUGACUAGCUAUAAUAUUGGGCAAGUCAUAUAAAUUCUCCAGGCACAGUGUCCCUUUUGGCAAACAACAGACAGAAUAUAAAUAUGUGUUGCCAGGUCAGUGGACAUUUCAAGGACAGUUUGAUUUUAAUGUGAAGUCAUCUAAUUUUAAAUGCUCUAUUAAAUUUUAUUUUUUUUAGUUGUAUAAGCUUAAGAACAGGUAUCAGACAAGACUUCUU